This 253-nucleotide ribosomal RNA is filed under the name uncultured bacterium. RNAcentral's name for it is "partial 16S ribosomal RNA". It matches the Rfam family "Bacterial small subunit ribosomal RNA", at positions 524 to 776 of the family's 1533-position model. The record is from RNAcentral.
UACGGGGGGGGCAAGCGUUGUUCGGAAUUACUGGGCGUAAAGGGUGUGUAGGUGGCGCGCUAAGUCGGGUGUGAAAUUUCGGAGCUUAACUCCGAAACUGCAUUCGAUACUGGCGUGCUUGAGGACUGGAGAGGAGACUGGAAUUUACGGUGUAGCAGUGAAAUGCGUAGAUAUCGUAAGGAAGACCAGUGGCGAAGGCGGGUCUCUGGACAGUUCCUGACACUGAGACACGAAGGCCAGGGGAGCAAACGGG